CUGGAGGUAUCAGAAGUGCGAAUGCUGACAUAAGUAACGAUAAAGCGGGUGAAAAGCCCGCUCGCCGGAAGACCAAGGGUUCCUGUCCAACGUUAAUCGGGGCAGGGUGAGUCGACCCCUAAGGCGAGGCCGAAAGGCGUAGUCGAUGGGAAACAGGUUAAUAUUCCUGUACUUGGUGUUACUGCGAAGGGGGGACGGAGAAGGCUAUGUUGGCCGGGCGACGGUUGUCCCGGUUUAAGCGUGUAGGCUGGUUUUCCAGGCAAAUCCGGAAAAUCAAGGCUGAGGCGUGAUGACGAGGCACUACGGUGCUGAAGCAACAAAUGCCCUGCUUCCAGGAAAAGCCUC
Molecule: ribosomal RNA, 345 nt
Filed under: Escherichia coli
Lineage: Bacteria; Pseudomonadati; Pseudomonadota; Gammaproteobacteria; Enterobacterales; Enterobacteriaceae
Description: partial 23S ribosomal RNA
Rfam family: Bacterial large subunit ribosomal RNA
Source: RNAcentral